CCUACGGGAGGCAGCAGUGGGGAAUAUUGGACAAUGGGGGCAACCCUGAUCCAGCCAUGCCGCGUGUGUGAAGAAGGCCCUCGGGUUGUAAAGCACUUUCAGUGAGGAAGAACGCCUGGUGGUUAAUACCCAUCAGGAAAGACAUCACUCACAGAAGAAGCACCGGCUAACUCCGUGCCAGCAGCCGCGGUAAUACGGAGGGUGCGAGCGUUAAUCGGAAUUACUGGGCGUAAAGCGCGCGUAGGUGGCUUGAUAAGCCGGUUGUGAAAGCCCCGGGCACAACCUGGGAACGGCAUCCGGAACUGUCAAGCUAGAGUGCAGGAGAGGAAGGUAGAAUUCCCGGUGUAGCGGUGAAAUGCGUAGAGAUCGGGAGGAAUACCAGUGGCGAAGGCGGCCUUCUGGACUGACACUGACACUGAGGUGCGAAAGCGUGGGUAGCAAACAGGAUUAGAUACCCUGGUAGUC
Molecule: ribosomal RNA, 465 nt
Filed under: Vreelandella stevensii
Lineage: Bacteria; Pseudomonadati; Pseudomonadota; Gammaproteobacteria; Oceanospirillales; Halomonadaceae
Description: partial 16S ribosomal RNA
Rfam family: Bacterial small subunit ribosomal RNA
Source: RNAcentral